UCAAGAUAAUGUCAUUGGGAUGCCCCCUCCUCACAGUCAUAUUAUUGAGCUAAUGCACUGAGCGGGGUCCUUGGGCCCAAGGAACAGACCAUAUGGUGCCUGAGUAAAAUUAGCUCAUUCUUCUACCACUAAGCAGGGAAGUAGACAAGGAAGUUGUGGGUGCUGUAAAGACCCAUACCAGACUGGUGUUGAAGGUGCUGUAAAGACCCAUACCAGACUGGUGUUGAAGGUACUGUAAAGACCCAUACCAGACUGGUGUUGAAGGUACUGUAAAGACCCAUACCAGACUGGUGUUGAAGGUACUGUAAAGACCCAUACCAGACUGGUGUUGAAGGUACUGUAAAGACCCAUACCAGACUGGUGUUGAAGGUACUGUAAAGACCCAUACCAGACUGGUGUUGAAGGUACUGUAAAGACCCAUACCAGACUGGUGUUGAAGGUACUGUAAAGACCCAUACCAGACUGGUGUUGAAGGUACUGUAAAGACCCAUACCAGACUGGUGUUGAAGGUACUGUAAAGACCCAUACCAGACUGGUGUUGAAGGUACUGUAAAGACCCAUACCAGACUGGUGUUGAAGGUGCUGUAAAGACCCAUACCAGACUGGUGUUGAAGGUGCUGUAAAGACCCAUACCAGACUGGUGUUGAAGGUGCUGUAAAGACCCAUACCAGACUGGUGUUGAAGGUGCUGUAAAGACCCAUACCAGACUGGUGUUGAAGGUGCUGUAAAGACCCAUACCAGACUGGUGUUGAAGGUGCUGUAAAGACCCAUACCAGACUGGUGUUGAAGGUGCUGUAAAGACCCAUACCAGACUGGUGUUGAAGGUGCUGUAAAGACCCAUACCAGACUGGUGUUGAAGGUGCUGUAAAGACCCAUACCAGACUGGUGUUGAAGGUGCUGUAAAGACCCAUACCAGACUGGUGUUGAAGGUGCUGUAAAGACCCAUACCAGACUGGUGUUGAAGGUGCUGUAAAGACCCAUA
This is a long non-coding RNA of Oncorhynchus keta (chum salmon), 982 nucleotides long. RefSeq lists it as uncharacterized. The record is from RefSeq and is a predicted model, not a curated record. The transcript is spliced from 6 exons. NCBI's taxonomy places the organism in Eukaryota, Metazoa, Chordata, Actinopteri, Salmoniformes, Salmonidae.